GAUGAACGCUAGCUCCAGUGCUUAACACAUGCAAGUCGAGGGGCAUCAGGAAGAAAGCUUGCUUUCUUUGCUGGCGACCGGCGCACGGGUGAGUAACACGUAUCCAACCUGCCCUUUACUCGGGGAUAGCCUUUCGAAAGAAAGAUUAAUACCCGAUAGCAUAAUGAUUCCGCAUGGUUUCAUUAUUAAAGGAUUCCGGUAAAGGAUGGGGAUGCGUUCCAUUAGGUUGUUGGUGAGGUAACGGCUCACCAAGCCUUCGAUGGAUAGGGGUUCUGAGAGGAAGGUCCCCCACAUUGGAACUGAGACACGGUCCAAACUCCUACGGGAGGCAGCAGUGAGGAAUAUUGGUCAAUGGGCGCUAGCCUGAACCAGCCAAGUAGCGUGAAGGAUGAAGGCUCUAUGGGUCGUAAACUUCUUUUAUAUAAGAAUAAAGUGCAGUAUGUAUACUGUUUUGUAUGUAUUAUAUGAAUAAGGAUCGGCUAACUCCGUGCCAGCAGCCGCGGUAAUACGGAGGAUCCGAGCGUUAUCCGGAUUUAUUGGGUUUAAAGGGAGCGUAGGUGGACUGGUAAGUCAGUUGUGAAAGUUUGCGGCUCAACCGUAAAAUUGCAGUUGAUACUGUCAGUCUUGAGUACAGUAGAGGUGGGCGGAAUUCGUGGUGUAGCGGUGAAAUGCUUAGAUAUCACGAAGAACUCCGAUUGCGAAGGCAGCUCACUGGACUGCAACUGACACUGAUGCUCGAAAGUGUGGGUAUCAAACANG
RNAcentral lists this ribosomal RNA (759 nucleotides) under uncultured bacterium. RNAcentral's name for it is "bacterial SSU rRNA". It matches the Rfam family "Bacterial small subunit ribosomal RNA", at positions 28 to 776 of the family's 1533-position model. The record is from RNAcentral.